CAAGAAUUAUACAAAGAGCAUUCCAGAAUC
Molecule: non-coding RNA, 30 nt
Filed under: Rattus norvegicus (Norway rat)
Lineage: Eukaryota; Metazoa; Chordata; Mammalia; Rodentia; Muridae
Source: RNAcentral